Molecule: ribosomal RNA, 253 nt
Filed under: uncultured archaeon
Lineage: Archaea
Description: partial 16S ribosomal RNA
Rfam family: Archaeal small subunit ribosomal RNA
Source: RNAcentral
AACCAGCACCUCAAGUGGUCAGGAUGAUUAUUGGGCCUAAAGCAUCCGUAGCCUGUUCUGUAAGUUUUCGGUUAAAUCUAUGCGCUCAACGUAUAGGCUGCCGAAAAUACUGCAGAACUAGGGAGUGGGAGAGGUAGACGGUACUCGGUAGGAAGGGGUAAAAUCCUUUGAUCUAUUGAUGACCACCUGUUGCGAAGGCGCCACACUAGAACGGAUCCGACGGUCAGGGACGAAGCCUAGGGGCACGAACCGG